RNAcentral lists this transfer RNA (76 nucleotides) under Klebsiella michiganensis. RNAcentral's name for it is "tRNA-Ile". It matches the Rfam family "tRNA". From Rfam's summary of the family: Transfer RNA (tRNA) molecules are approximately 80 nucleotides in length. The record is from RNAcentral. Lineage: Bacteria; Pseudomonadati; Pseudomonadota; Gammaproteobacteria; Enterobacterales; Enterobacteriaceae.
GGCCCCUUAGCUCAGUGGUUAGAGCGGGCGCCUCAUAAGCGCUAGGUCACCGGUUCAAACCCGGUAGGGGCCACCA